UUUUUUUUUUUUUUAAAGGGUUUUGGCUUGGCCACUGGGCCUUUAAGCCAUGUCUUUAUUUUCACAUUUCACAGCACAGUUGCACUUUCACUUCUUCACUAUAUUUUAUUGAAGGUAUUUUUAAUAUAAUAGUAUAUAGCAUUAAAGCACACUUUUAAUUUUAGUAGCAUAAUGAGGCGGCGGGAGGGAUUAUCUUCAUUUGUUAUAAAUUCACUCACUUCACUUGCAAAAACUAAACGUUCCAUGUUGUGGGUAGGGCAUUCAAAAAACAUAUGUUCUAGCGUUCCAACAGCAUUUUGACAUGAUAAACAUGUGCUAUCUUCUAUUAUGUUAAAUCUUUUUAAAUGCGAUGGUGCUUUUGUGUGACCAAAUCUCAGUCUAUUCAUUGUUGUGAUAAAAUCUCGACUGGCUAUUUUCAAAUCAUUAUACCAGGGCUUCGAAGGAGAAUCUGAGACAAAUUGGGACUUCUGUUGCAUAACAAAUCAUCACCUGAGGUCAUAGGUGUUUGAUGGACAAUUGAAUUAGAUCUGAGAUAAGGGAGACGAAACUGUCAGCACAACUUCUGCCUUUUCUGAAGCCAUAUUGAACAUUGGGAAUCAAGCCAUUUGACUCAACAAACCAAUCAAGACGAGUUUUAAUCAUAUUUUCAAAUAUUUUACCUAAACAUGAAGAGAGAGAAAUGGGUCUAUAUGAAUUUGGAUCUUCUGGAGGCUUAUCUUGUUUUAAAACAGGAAUAACACAUUGAGUCUUCCAAGAUUGUGGGAUUAUUUGAUUCACCCAAAGACUAUUAAGUAUAUUUAAAAAUAAUUUCUGCACUGAAGUAUCUAAUUUUUUUAUAAGAAUAUAAGGAAAAUCAUCUAAUCCAGGUGAUGUAUUCUUUCGCGAGUUCAAACUAUUUUCAAAUUCGUGGAAAGUAAAUUUUUGUAUAAGAAAACUUGAUUUAAUGUCAGAAUUAUGAAGAUAAAAAUAGGUAUUUAAUUCAUGAAUGUGUAAGCCGGUUUCUGUUAACUUAUCAAAAAAUCCAUCAAUGAAUUCGUCUGAAUAAGAUUUAUUGGAAGCUUUUCUAUGUUUAAACAUUUUAAUGUAAUUCCAUAUUUUACUUAUCGGUGUAGUUCUAUUAAAACUAUUACAUAGUCUACUCCAUCCGUUUUUCUUUUCUUCUGAUAUUGUUCUUUUUUUAAUAGCAUUUAAUCUUUGAUAUUUUACAAAAUUUCCUAUUGUAGGAUUACUUCUAUAAUACUUUAAAGCUUCAUAAGAGUCUGUAACACUUUUUUCACAUCUAUCGUUCCACCAAGGAGCUGGUAGUUUACUUUUGUAUGAGCUAGGUUUUGUAAAUUUCCUAAUGCAUUCUUCUUUAAGAGAGUUUAGCUUGUUACAAAAAUAUUCAUAAGUUUCUAAAGGAUUAUCACUAUUAAUGGUAAAAUUUGUAAAAAAGGACUUAGAAAGUUCGUGGUAUUUUUGCCAGUUUGCUUUACUGUACAUAAAUUUAUCUAUUGGAGGAUUUAUUUGAUAUCUAUCAAUUGAAAGUGCAAUAGUAAUGAUCACAGGAAAGUGGUAGCUACCCAUAUUGUCAUCGUGAACAGUCCAAUCACACAAGGGUGCAAUGGCUGAGCUGGUAAAAGCGACAUCUAUAGCCGAUGGGUUUCGAUUAGGAUAAUUAAUAGUAGUAAAAUUACCAUCGUUAAGGAUACAUAAAUCCAAUUCAUCUAUAACAUUGUAUAAUUGUUGUCCUCGUCCUUUAGUGGAUAAGCACCCAAAAGCAAUAUGGUGAGCAUUAAAAUCACCUGAUACUAAAAUAGGUUUAGGCAGAUAUCUAAUUAGAUUACGUAAUUUAUUAAUUCUAAUAUGACUACUUGUAGGUGGACAAUAUACACAUAAUAGAGUUAGUUCUCCACAUCCUGUAGAAAUUGAUAUAGCUAUUGUUUGAAUAUCUUCGUAAAAGACAGUGUUAAUUAAUUUGUAUUUGAUAUAAGGACGAAUUAAGAUGGCAACACCACCAUGCUCAUUUUUUGCAUUUUUAAAAUGAAGAUUGUAACCGGGUAUUGAAAUAUGUUGGUUCUCCUUAAACCAUGUUUCAUUUAAAAGGCAAAUAUCAAGAUUUUUUUCCUGUAGAAAUUUGAUAAGUAACGGCUUUUUGUUAUUUAAACUUUGAAUAUUAAAUUGAGCUAUUUUGAGUUGUGUUAUGUUCAAGUUAUUAUCCAUAUUAGGUUAGGUUUUUAAAUAAUAAUUCUUUGAUAAAUGACGUAGUUAUAGGAUUAUCGUCGCUCUUAUUACCCAGUUGUAUUAGGGUGCUCACUAUGACGUUAACUAGGUCAUCAUUGUUGAUUAGCUGCGUCUUUAAGUCAACAGCCUUAGGCGAAAAGUCUUGUGAGACAGGUUCGUUACCUUUUUGUUUAUUUUUAUUUACAUUGUUAGAUACACUUUGUACAGACUUGUUUACAUUCUUAUUAUUAAACUUAUUACUAUUUA
This is a long non-coding RNA of Plutella xylostella (diamondback moth), 2469 nucleotides long. RefSeq lists it as uncharacterized. The record is from RefSeq and is a predicted model, not a curated record. Lineage: Eukaryota; Metazoa; Arthropoda; Insecta; Lepidoptera; Plutellidae.